RNAcentral lists this ribosomal RNA (965 nucleotides) under Klebsiella pneumoniae. Its description in RNAcentral is "bacterial SSU rRNA". It matches the Rfam family "Bacterial small subunit ribosomal RNA", at positions 502 to 1474 of the family's 1533-position model. Lineage: Bacteria; Pseudomonadati; Pseudomonadota; Gammaproteobacteria; Enterobacterales; Enterobacteriaceae. The record is from RNAcentral.
UUCGCGCAGCCGCGUAAUACCGAAGGGUGCAAGCGUUAAUCGGAAUUACUGGGCGUAAAGCGCACGCGGGCGGUCUGUCAAGUCGGAUGUGAAAUCCCCGGGCUCAACAUGGGAACUGCAUUCGAAACUGGCAGGCUAGAGUCUUGUAGAGGGGGGUAGAAUUCCAGGUGUAGCGGUGAAAAUGCGUAGAGAUCUGGAGGAAUACCGGUGGCGAAGGCGGCCCCCUGGACAAAGACUGACGCUCAGGUGCGAAAGCGUGGGGAGCAAACAGGAUUAGAUACCCUGGUAGUCCACGCCGUAAACGAUGUCGAUUUGGAGGUUGUGCCCUUGAGGCGUGGCUUCCGGAGCUAACGCGUUAAAUCGACCGCCUGGGGAGUACGGCCGCAAGGUUAAAACUCAAAUGAAUUGACGGGGGCCCGCACAAGCGGUGGAGCAUGUGGUUUAAUUCGAUGCAACGCGAAGAACCUUACCUGGUCUUGACAUCCACAGAACUUUCCAGAGAUGGAUUGGUGCCUUCGGGAACUGUGAGACAGGUGCUGCAUGGCUGUCGUCAGCUCGUGUUGUGAAAUGUUGGGUUAAGUCCCGCAACGAGCGCAACCCUUAUCCUUUGUUGCCAGCGGUUAGGCCGGGAACUCAAAGGAGACUGCCAGUGAUAAACUGGAGGAAGGUGGGGAUGACGUCAAGUCAUCAUGGCCCUUACGACCAGGGCUACACACGUGCUACAAUGGCAUAUACAAAGAGAAGCGACCUCGCGAGAGCAAGCGGACCUCAUAAAGUAUGUCGUAGUCCGGAUUGGAGUCUGCAACUCGACUCCAUGAAGUCGGAAUCGCUAGUAAUCGUAGAUCAGAAUGCUACGGUGAAUACGUUCCCGGGCCUUGUACACACCGCCCGUCACACCAUGGGAGUGGGUUGCAAAAGAAGUAGGUAGCUUAACCUUCGGGAGGGCGCUACCACUUGAUCUACUG